CUAUUUAGAAAGGUGGCAUAUUUCAACAAAAUGUAUCACAUUUGAUGAGAAAAUUCCCACCGGGCACUGGUUGAAUCAACGUGAUUCCACCAAAUGAAAUGAUGUUGAACCAACCUGAAUUAGACGUUGAAUUGAGGUCUCUACCCAGUUGGUUGUCAUUUUCCCUGGUAGGCCUAGGCUAUCAAUAGCUCCGCUAGAAAUGGACAACAAAAGUAUGAAUGUGGAUGAUGCUAUUUUUAGGACCUGUUACAGGCUACAGCAGCCACGUAUUUUCAAAAGACGCCCAAACCAUAUUAUCUUUCUCCAAUGCAACUCCAGCUUCUUUCGCUCUUGGCCACGGUAGCGCUUGUAAUAAAUAGCCUACAAAUAAAUUCAAGUGAAAUCUCUGUGUAGUAACGCGGGGAGUCCCCCGUCGCGGUUGCGAGAUACCCAGCUGGCUCGAGCCGGAGGGGUGCUGCGGCGGGUACCCCCCCACGCGCACUCUGACAGUUAGUAGGUUUGUAGGCUACUCACGGAGACGGAACCUGCAUCUGGACUGACAGAGAGAUAUUACUACAAGGCUAUAACACAAGACGACUCACAGGGAAACGCUCACUAGGCUUCUAACUAGCAUAGCGAGUGGAUUAGACCGAGGUUUUCCGUUUUGCUAGACAUUUCACAUUUUGGACAAGGGAACAGUGCGUUGCUACUUAGCUGCACAUGGGACAGUUGUAAGUUCAAAAGUGAAAACCAAUAUCAUUUAAUUUCACUAAAUUACAAGGAGCACAUUGGAAUUACUAUAUCAGACUUGCUACUGAGAAGAAGUGUGUGUGUGUGUGUGUGCGUGCGUGUGUGUAUGCGAGAGUGAGAUAGAAAGAAGAGCAAGAGCAUCUCUGGCUCAGAGGUAGUUGACAUCCUCCUCCUAGAAGUCUAAAACAAGGGGCUCUAACAUCAGAGAGAGACACAGCCACAGCCCUUCUCCCCUUCCCCUCAUCCUCCUUUCUUCUCCCAUUGGACACAGAGAGAGCGAGGGAAAGAGCGAGGGAAAGUGAGAAAGAAGAGGGAGACAUGUAUCAAACACUCCUCCUCUCCUCCUCGCUCUUCAUCCUCCAUGUGACGGCCACUCCACAGUUCCACGGUCACCACGGGAGGAGGGUGUGUGGCAGAGAUAUUCAUCACAGCAGUGUCAUCACGACGACAGAGUCGUUCGUCCAGCCCGUUCACAAACCCUACAUCACCCUGUGUCAGGGGCACCGCCUCUGUAGCACCUACAAGUAAGUGACACAGCCAUGACUCUCCUGACCACUACUGUUGCUAUCACUGUCAAUAUCUCUAAUGCUAUCAAUGUCAAUAUCGCUAUCGCUGCCAAUAUCUCUUGAUAGCUCUAUCGCUGUCAAUAUCUCUAUUGCUAUCACUGUCAAUAUCGCAGUCGAUAUCGCUAUCACUGUCAAUAUCUCUAUCGCUAUCAAUAUCGUGAUCGCUACUACUGUCAGUAUCGCUAUCGUUGUCAAUAUCACUGUCAAUAUCGCUGUCACUAUCGCUGUCGAUAUCGCUAACAAUAUCACUAUCGCUGUUAAUAUUGCUAUCACUGUCAAUAUCACUCAAUAUCGCUAUCACUGUCAAUAUCUCUAUCGCUGUCAAUAUCUCGAUUGCUACUACUGUCAAUAUCGCUAUCGUUGUCAAUAUCGCUGUCACUAUCGCUGUUAAUAUUGCAAUCACUCAAUAUCGCUAUCACUGUCACUAUCGCUGUCAAUAUCUCGAUCGCUACUACUGUCAAUAUCGCUAUCGCUGUCAAUAUCUCGAUCGCUACUACUGUCAAUAUUGCUAUCGUUGUCAAUAUCGCUGUUAAUAUUGCUAUCACUCAAUAUCGCUAUCACUGUCACUAUCGCUGUCAAUAUCUCUAUAAUUGUCAAUAUUUCUAUCGUUAUCACUAUCAUUGUCAAUAUCUCUAUCACUAUCACGAUAACUGUCAAUAUUUCUAUCACUGUCAAUAUCUCUAUCGUUAUCAAUAUCACUAUCACUGUCAAUAUCACUAUCAUUGUCAAUUUCUCUGUCGCUAUCACUGUCAAUAUCUCUAUUGCUGUCAAUAUCUUGAUCACUGUCAAUAUCUUGAUCACUGUCAAUAUCUCGAUCGCUGUCAAUAUUUCUAUUGCUGUCAAUAUCUCUAUCAAUAUCGCUAUCGCUGUCAAUAUCGCUAUCACUGUCAAUAUCUCUAUCGCUAUCAUUGUAAAUAAUGCUAUUACUGUCAAUAUCUCUAUCGCUAUUACUGUCAAUAUCGCUAUCGACAUCGCUAUCACUGUCCAUAUCUCUAUCGCUGUCAAUAUCUCUAUCGCUACCACUGUCGAUAUCGUUGUCAAUAUCUCUUUCGCUAUCACUGUCACUAUCGCUAUCACUGUCAAUAUCGCUGUCAAUAUUGCUAUCGCUGUCAAUAUUGCUAUCGCUGUCAAUAUUGCUAUCGCUGUCAAUAUUGCUAUCGCUGUCAUUAUCGCUAUCGCUGUCAAUAUCACUGUCACUAUCUCUAUCGCUCUCAAUAUUUCUAUCGUUAUCACUAUCAUAUCUCUCACGAUCACUGUCAAUAUCGCGAUCACUGUCAAUAUUUCUAUCGCUGUCAAUAUCUCUAUCGUUAUCAAUGUCGCUAUCGCAGUCAAUAUCUCUAUUGCUAUCACUGUCAAUAUCAAUGUUGUUAUCGCAGUCAAUAUCUAUAUUGCUAUCACUGUCAAUAUCAAUGUUGUUAUCGCAGUCAAUAUCUCUAUUGCUAUCACUGUCAAUAUCGCUACCAAUAUCGCUAUCGCUAUCAAUAUUUCUAUCACUGUCAAUAUUUCUAUCACUGUCAAUAUUUCUAUUGCUGUCAAUAUCGCUGUCAAUAUCGCUAUCGCUGUCAAUAUCACUACCAAUAUCUCUAUCGCUAUCACUGUAAAUAAUGCUAUCACUGUCAAUAUCGCUAUUACUGUCAAUAUCUCUAUCGCUAUCACUGUCAAUAUCUAUCACUGUCAAUAUCACUUUCACUGUCGCUGUCAAUAUUUCUAUCGCUGUCAAUAUUUCUAUCGCUGUCAAUAUCUCUAUUGUAUCAAUAUCACUAUCAUUGUCUCUAUCACUGUCAAUAUCACUAUCAUUGUCAAUUUCUCUGUCACAAUCACUAUCAAUAUCUCUAUCACUGUCAAUAUCUAUCACUGUCAAUAUCACUGUCAAUAUCACUUUCACUGUCGCUGUCAAUAUUUCUAUCGCUGUCAAUAUUUCUAUCGCUGUCAAUAUCUCUCUUGUAUCAAUAUCACUAUCAUUGUCUCUAUCACUGUCAAUAUCACUAUCAUUGUCAAUUUCUCUGUCACAAUCACUAUCAAUAUCUCUAUCACUGUCAAUGUCGCGAUCACUGUCAAUAUUUCUAUCGCUGUCAAUAUCUCUAUCGUUAUCAAUAACGCUAUCGUAGUCAAUAUCUCUAUCGCUAUCACUGUCAAUAUCGCUAUCGCUAUCACUGUCUAUUGCUGUCAAUAUCGCUAUCACUGUCAAUAUCACUACCAAUAUCACUGUCAAUAUCGCUAUCACUGUCAAUAUCACUACCAAUAUCACUGUCAAUAUCGCUAUCACUGUCAAUAUCACUACCAAUAUCACUGUCAAUAUCGCUAUCACUGUCAAUAUCACUACCAAUAUCACUGUCAAUAUCGCUAUCACUGUCAAUAUCACUACCAAUAUCACUGUCAAUAUCGCUAUCACUGUCAAUAUCACUACCAAUAUCACUGUCAAUAUCGCGAUCACUGUCAAUAUCUCUAUAACUGUCAAUAUUUAUAUCGCUGUCAAUAUCGCUAUCACUGUCAAUAUUUAUAUCGCUGUCAAUAUCUCUAUCGCUAUCACUGUCAAUAUUGCUAUCACUGUAAAUAAUGCAAUCGCUGUCAAUAUCUCUAUCGCUAUUACUGUCAAUAUCUCUAUCGCUAUCAACAUUGCUAUCACUGUCCAUAUCGCUAUCACUGUCAAUAUUGCUAUCACUGUCAGUAUAUGUCACUGUAAAUAUCUCUAUCGCUGUCACUGUCAAUAUCUCUAUUGCUAUCACUGUCAAGAUCGCUAUCACAGUCAAUAUCUCUAUCGCUGUCAAUAUCUAUCGCUAUAGCUGUCAGUAUCUCUAUCGCUGUCAAUAUCUCUAUCGCUGUCACUGUCAAUAUCUCUAUCAAUUUCACUAUCACUGUCACUGUCAAUAUUGUUAUCAAUAUUGCUAUCACUGCAAACCCCCUGGGCGCACACUGGUUGAAUCAACGUUGUUUCUUCAUGAGCCUGAACCAACAUGAAAUAGACAUUAAACUGAUGUCUGUGCCCAGUGGGAACAUCCCACCUAAUCUUAUCAUAAUACCAUGUACAGUAGAGGUGUGCUGAGUAGUCGGACAAAACGAGUAUCGUAAAGGAAUAUGGGCAAUUUUCUGGAUAUGAUUAUGAUCCGAGUAUUUCUUUAAAUGAUCCGUGAUCGGGGGAAAAAAAGUAAUUUUCGGGUGCCAGAAGGCAUCUUUCUCAUGUCAGUCAGUCACACCCCUAAUAACAACUUGUUCUCAACUUGCCUACCUGGUUAAAUAAAGGUGAAAAAAUAAAUAAAAGAUGAGGUGCUACAUAGGCAAACUAGCCAGUUGAAUUAUUUAGACUGUCUGUAAAGAGAAGGGCAGGCUAUACGUUGAUUCUGCUGCUCUAAUUGGAUAGAAUGAAGCUCUAUUUCUUGGUCCACUUGCUUCAUAAUUUCACCCAAUCGCUUUCACUUCUCUGUUUCGGUCUAAUCAGUCAUAUUCCUGCUGCCCAAUGUUCCCUCUAAGCUGCACACGUGCACGGCUGUGCACCUCCUCCAGGACUGCCGCCCAGAAGAAAUUAGAGGUCGACCGAUUUAUAAUUUUUCAACACCGAUACCGAUUAUUGGAGGACCAAAAAAAGCCGAUACGGAUUAAUCGGCCUUUUUCUUUUUUUUCUUUUAUUUAUUUAUAUAUAUAUAUUUGUAAUAAUGACUAUUACAACAAUACUGAAUGAACAAUGAACACUUUUAUUUUAACUUAAUAUAAUACAUCAAUAAAAUCAAUUUUGUCUCAAAUAAAUAAUGAAACAUGUUCAAUUUGGUUUAAAUAAUGUAAAAACAAAGUGUUGGAGAAGAAAGUAAAACUGCAAUAUGUGCCAUGUAAAAAAGCUAACGUUUAAGUUCCUUGCUCAGAACAUGAGAACAUAUGAAAGCUGGUGGUUCCUUUUAACAUGAGUCUUCAAUAUUCCCAGGUAAGAAGUUUUAGGUUGUAGUUAUUAUAGGACUAUUUCUCUCUAUGCCAUUUGAAUUUCAUAUACCUUUGACUAUUGGAUGUUCUAAUAGGUACUUUAGUAUUGCCAGCCUAAUCUCGGGAGUUGAUAGGCUUGAAGUCAUAAAGAGCUGCUGGCAAGCACAGGAAAGUGCUGUUUGAAUGAAUGCUUACGAGCCUGCUGCUGCCUACCACCGCUCAGUCAGACUGCUCUAUCAAAUCAUAGACUUAAUUAUAAUAUAAUAACACAGAAAUACGAGCCUUAGGUCAUUAAUAUGGUCAAAUCCGGAAACUAUCAUUUCGAAAACAAAACGUUUAUUCUUUCAGUGAAAUAUGGAACCGUUCCGUAUUUUAUCUAACUGGUGGCAUCCCUAAGUCUAAAUAUUGCUGUUACAUUGCACAACCUUCAAUAUUAUGUCAUAAUUAUGUAACAUUUUGGCAAAUUAGUUAGCAACGAGCCAGGUGGCCCAAACUGUUGCAUAUACCCUGACUCUGCGUGCAAUGAAUGCAAGAGAAGUGACUCAAUUUCACCUGGUUAAUAUUGCCUGCUAACAUGAAUUUCUUUUAACUAAAUAUGCAGGUUAAAAAAAAUGAUACUUCUGUGUAUUGAUUUUAAGAAAGGCAUUGAUGUUUAUGGUUAGGUACAGUCGUGCAAUGAUUGUGCUUUUUCGCAAAUGCGCUUUUGUUAAAUCAUCCCCCGUUUGUCGAAGUUGGUUGUCUUUGUUAGGAAGAAAUGGUCUUCACACAGUUCGCAACGAGCCAGGCGACCCAAACUGCUGCAUAUACCCUGACUCUGUUGCACAGAACGCAAGAGAAGUGACACAAUUUCCCUAGUUAAAAGAACUUCAUGUUAGCAGGCAACUUCAUGUUAGCAGGCAAUAUUAACUAAAUAGGUUUAAAAAUAUAUACUUGUGUAUUGAGUUGAAGAAAGGUGUUGAUGUUUAUGGUUAGGUACACAUUGGUGCAACGACAGUGUUUUUUUUCCGCAAAUGCGCUUGUUAAAUCACCCGUUUGGCGAAGUAGGCUGUGAUUCAAUGAUAAAUUAACAGGCACCACAUCGAUUAUAUGCAACGCAGGACACGUUAGAUAAACUAGUAAUAUCAUCAACCAUGUGUAGUUAACUAGUGAUUAUGUUAAGAUUGAUUGUUUUUUUAUAAGAUCAAUUUAAUGCUAGCUAGCACCUUACCUUGGCUCCUUGUUGCACUCGCAUAACAGGUAGUCAGCCUGCCACCCAGUCUCCUCGUGGAGUGCAAUGUAAUCGGCCAUAAUCGGUGUCAAAAAAAUGCCGACUACCGAUUGUUAUGAAAACUUGAAAUCGGCCCUAAUUAAUCGGCCAUUCCGAUUAAUCAGUCGACCUCUAGAAGAAAUACCAGGCUGCGCAGAGAUACAAGAGAUUGAACUUCAUUGAGUUAGCCCAAUUAGUUUGCACUAUAUAGAUCGAUUUUUCUGUGAUCGAAUCAACAUUACAUCAUCCCCUUUUCAAUGCAACAAUCCAAACCAAAUGUAACUUUGCAAGAUUGAGUCUAUGAUUAUUUUUUCGUAGGCAGAGCCAGAGCGCAACGAAGUAGAAUUCUAUUGGCUGGGUAGCCCACGAGCAGUCUUUCAAUCACCUGAAAGUGAAUGUGCUUUUCAGAUCAGUUCAGAUCAGAGUACAGAGCUGCGCGUGAGCACAUUUGUUGAUAUUCUUUGCUAGUUAGCGAGUUAUUAGCCGGGUUAUAGAUGCGUAUAGGUCAGCAAUGGGGAGUUACUGCUUCCCACAAGAGCACAAUCUGUAGGCUACAUUUCAAGCUGUCUUUAAAAAGUCAGUCAGGUAAAAAGCUUAUGUCUUAAUUAAAGGGGCAGUGUUGUAUUUUGAGACCGGCUUGAAUAUGCUAAUAGGCAGAGGGGUUUCCUACAUUGUCUAAUUCUCUGUAUAGUAAUAAUAAUACAUUGUAUAUUGUAAAGUGGUUUCUUGCAUUAUAGACAAUACAAUGCAAUUUACAGUCACCUAUUUGGCCCAUGGUGUUACAGACCAAGUAAAAAAUCAUUAACUAAUGUCAAGCCCUGCAUAAUAUAAAAACGUUUUUAAAAGUCUCAUGCAAUGUAGGCCUGCAUUGAACACCACAGGCUACUGUAAACUAUAUCAUAGAAAUCCAAAGCUAUUUCCACGUGAAAAUAGCUUAUUGCCUACUGUCUAAAACUGUAAGGGUACAGCCUCACUGUUCACCUUAAACUCGCAUUCAAGUUUCCGCUCACAAGAACAAAAAUUUGCUCAGUGCCCCAAAAGAAUUGAGGGAACAUUGCUGCUGCCUCUUGUUAGCCUGCAACUAUGGUGAAUCAAAUGGCAAGGAUGUUUGCUAUCACGCUAUCAAUGUGCAUAAUAUCUAAAAAGAAGGGAAAGUUUGGGAACAAAGAUUCUGAUUGAUAGCAAACUGCCCGCUACAAUUUGAGGACACAGAGCCCUCCACGGCUCCUCAUCUGCAGCUUGUUUGGUCUGGAAACGUGCAGGGAGGGAGCUUAUUUGCCAAUAUCUACUUAGGCAUAUUAAAACAUUUCAUUUUUUUCCCGAUCACAAGUAACAUCCAAUCCAACUAUCAACUGUCUAUUUACAGAUACGAUUAUGGCCAUGUCAGCACACCCCUAAUACCACCACAAGGUCCAUAUAUCACUGCCUAAACAGGACAUCAUUUAUUAACAACACAAGCAGGGACCUUCAUCCAGUCUGUUUCCAGCUGUACCAUAUUUUAUAUAUGCCAUUUAGCAGACUUAGUCAUGCGACUUAGUCAUGCGUGCAUUUUUUUUUUUUUAUGUAUGUAUGGGAAUCGAACCCACCGUCCUGGCAUUGCAAGAGCCAUGCUCUACCAACUGAGCUACAGAGGACCACAUAUUUAGCAUUGUCUAUACAGUCUGACCUCAGCCAACCUCAUGCAAUACAUUCAUCUCUGACACAGAAGAUGUUAAGGACAGUGUACAGGGUGGCGUACCGUCAGGUGACCAGAGCCGUGCCAGUCUCACACUCUUACCCAGAAUGCUGCCCAGGUUGGCGACGACUCCACUCACACAACUGUAAUCAAGCGGUGUGUGGCCAGUCCUGUGUGAACGGAGGAACAUGUUUAAUACCCAACCACUGCGCCUGUCCUCUGGGAUGGAUGGGUCGCCACUGCCAAACAGAUGUGGAUGAGUGCCGUGAGCAGCAGCCCUGUUCUCAUCAGUGUGUGAACAUGGCAGGCAGCUACCACUGUGUGUGUAGAGAGGGCUACAGGCUGGCAGGAGACACACACUCCUGUGAGAACCUUCCUCCUCCUCCUCCUGCCUCUUCCACCCACCCCAGUCAAGAAGCAGCAAACGAUCACAUACCCCCCUCCAGUGAUACAGGUGGAGGGUUUGGGCUGACUGAGAACGUCACAGAGGAGGUCCAGAGCCUGAAGAACAGAGUAGAGCUGCUGGAACAGAAGCUCCAGUUGGUCCUGGCCCCUUUCACCAGUCUGUUCCCCAUGUCGCUGGACGAGGGCGUGUCUGAGAAAACCAGCUUCCUGUCCCACUCCUUCCAGCAGCUGGAUCGCAUCGACUCGCUCAGCGAACAGGUCGGCUUCCUCGAGGAACGCCUCGGAACAUGUUCCUGCCAAGAGAAUUAGAAACAACAGGACUGGGUCACCCUCACCAACUAGAUAUCUCCACACAAGUCUGAGUCCACAACACAAUAACAAUAGGAAUGGAAUGAAUGCCCCAGCCCAGCGAUAUGGAGGAGGAGCAAUAUUAGUAGAACAUAGGCCUACUCAGUGUUUUGUGUAUUCCUGUUCCUAUACCAGCCCAAAGGCUAACUUGAACACUAGCUCUAUGAUGGGCAACCCUGUCAUGUGCUAUAUGUCAGUGACACAUACAACCCAUUUAAGUGUCCCUUUCUCCCAACAGCAUAAUUUCAUGUCAUUGCUGUAUUACGGAGACAUAGAAGAGCAUAUAGCAUCACCACCUGUGACGGUUACAGGGGCCUCAUUCCCCCAUUAGCACAUUACCUGAGAGUCAAAGUUCAAACUGCCAAUUUCACUCUGAAGGAUCUGGUUUCCAUGUUUUAGGUUCACAUCAGUCCACUGUCAGAGCCCCCAUGGUGGGGUUUGCAUGGACAUCUGUAUUUAUGUAUUUAAGUUAGAAUUCCUUGUGCUUAUUUCAUAGAGAUACAAUAGACAGUUUACUUUUUUUUUACCUUGUUUUGUAACUUUUUGUAAUAAAAUUGAUUAAAUCAAAAAUGUCUGGUAGAAGAUUUGUGUGUGUGCUCCAC
Molecule: long non-coding RNA, 9480 nt
Filed under: Salmo salar (Atlantic salmon)
Lineage: Eukaryota; Metazoa; Chordata; Actinopteri; Salmoniformes; Salmonidae
Description: lncRNA (ENSSSAG00000120063.1)
Source: RNAcentral